AACGAACGCUGGCGGCACGCCUAACACAUGCAAGUCGAGCGCUACCUUCGGGUGGAGCGGCGGACGGGUUAGUAACGCGUGGGAACAUGCCCUUCACUAAGGAAUAGCCACUGGAAACGGUGAGUAAUACCUUAUACGCCCUUCGGGGGAAAGAUUUAUCGGUGAAGGAUUGGCCCGCGUUAGAUUAGAUAGUUGGUGGGGUAACGGCCUACCAAGUCGACGAUCUAUAGCUGGUUUGAGGGGAUGAUCAGCAACACUGGGACUGAGACACGGCCCAGACUCCUACGGGAGGCAGCAGUGGGGAAUCUUAGACAAUGGGCGCAAGCCUGAUCUAGCGAUGCCGCGUGAGUGAUGAAGGCCUUAGGGUCGUAAAGCUCUUUCACCAGGGAUGAUAAUGACAGUACCUGGAAAAGAAACCCCGGCUAACUCCGUGCCAGCAGCCGCGGUAAUACGGAGGGGGUUAGCGUUGUUCGGAAUUACUGGGCGUAAAGCGUACGUAGGCGGAUUAGUAAGUUAGGGGUGAAAUCCCGGGGCUCAACCCCGGAACUGCCUUUAAUACUGCUAGUCUUGAGUUCGAGAGAGGUGAGUGGAAUUCCGAGUGUAGAGGUGAAAUUCGUAGAUAUUCGGAGGAACACCAGUGGCGAAGGCGGCUCACUGGCUCGAUACUGACGCUGAGGUACGAAAGUGUGGGGAGCAAACAGGAUUAGAUACCCUGGUAGUCCACACCGUAAACGAUGAAUGCCAGUCGUCAGCAAGCAUGCUUGUUGGUGACACACCUAACGGAUUAAGCAUUCCGCCUG
RNAcentral lists this ribosomal RNA (800 nucleotides) under uncultured Alphaproteobacteria bacterium. RNAcentral's name for it is "bacterial SSU rRNA". It matches the Rfam family "Bacterial small subunit ribosomal RNA", at positions 28 to 875 of the family's 1533-position model. Lineage: Bacteria; Pseudomonadati; Pseudomonadota; Alphaproteobacteria. The record is from RNAcentral.